Non-coding RNA from Mugil cephalus (flathead mullet), 277 nucleotides. The record is from RefSeq and is a predicted model, not a curated record. Lineage: Eukaryota; Metazoa; Chordata; Actinopteri; Mugiliformes; Mugilidae.
UCUUUGCAGCCUUGCGGUGCUGCCCCUGGCGGAGCACGUUGCUUGUGGGUACAGCAAGGCUGCAGAAAGCAACGCAAAGAAUGAAAAGGCGUGACUUCUGGAGGUUCAGGAGGUUCACGUGCGAUGUUCUUUGAACACACCCCUGCCUCCCCACGGCGGUGAUCGCCUCGUCCAGUAGCGGUUGCUUUUUCUUGAGGCAGGUACAGUAAUAGCCGGCAGCCAGAUAUUGUUUGAAAGGGGAAGCUUUUCCUUUCGAACACUGUUGGCUGUCACACUG